Molecule: ribosomal RNA, 482 nt
Filed under: uncultured bacterium
Lineage: Bacteria
Description: partial 16S ribosomal RNA
Rfam family: Bacterial small subunit ribosomal RNA
Source: RNAcentral
AUUGAACGCUGGCGGCAUGCUUUACACAUGCAAGUCGAACGGUAACAGGCCGCAAGGUGCUGACGAGUGGCGAACGGGUGAGUAAUGCAUCGGAACGUGCCCAGUCGUGGGGGAUAACUACUCGAAAGAGUAGCUAAUACCGCAUACGAUCUAUGGAUGAAAGCGGGGGACCGUAAGGCCUCGCGCGAUUGGAGCGGCCGAUGUCAGAUUAGGUAGUUGGUGGGGUAAAGGCUCACCAAGCCAACGAUCUGUAGCGGGUCUGAGAGGACGACCAGCCACACUGGGACUGAGACACGGCCCAGACUCCUACGGGAGGCAGCAGUGGGGAAUUUUGGACAAUGGGCGCAAGCCUGAUCCAGCAAUGCCGCGUGCAGGAAGAAGGCCUUCGGGUUGUAAACUGCUUUUGUACGGAACGAAACGGCUCUGGUUAAUACCCGGGGCUAAUGACGGUACCGUAAGAAUAAGCACCGGCUAACUACGUG